Molecule: ribosomal RNA, 1851 nt
Filed under: Triticum aestivum (bread wheat)
Lineage: Eukaryota; Viridiplantae; Streptophyta; Magnoliopsida; Poales; Poaceae
Description: partial small subunit ribosomal RNA
Source: RNAcentral
AUGCAGAACUCAAAAACCAGUAGGAAUGGCUCUUCAGAUGCUCCGCAGAGGACGUCUCCAGCAACUCCGCGGUCGUCUCGUGUGGCGAAAACCGGAGGGAAUGAAACUGACUCCGCAGGGAUCACACCAACAAGAACACCUACAGAGAGGAGCCCAAAGGUCAUUGAGCGCCGUUCACCACGGAGCCCAGUUACUGAGAAGAAGCGCCCAAGUAGGCUAACUGAGCUGGAGUCUAAGGUCAACCAGCUCCAAGAUGAGCUGAAGAAGACCAAGGAACAGCUGAGCGCAUCAGAGGCACGAAGGCGCCAAGCACAGCAGGAGGCCGAUGAAGCAAAGAAGCAGGGGCAGGAUGCGUCGUCGAAGCUGGAGGAGUCGCAGUGCCAGCUUGUCGAGCUCUCAGCAGCAGAGGAAUCCCGUCUCCAGGAGUUGCGCAAGAUCCAGCAGGAGCGUGACCGCACUUGGCAGGCCGAGCUUGAGGCAUUGCAGAAACAGCAGUCAGUGGAUGCCGCUGCACUCAGCUCGGCCUUGUCUGAGAUCCAGAGGCUGAAGUUGCAGCUGGAGGCGACAGUGCAAUCCGAUACGGCCCGUGCCAAGCAAUGUGAGCAUGCGGACUCUGAGCUCGAGGGGCUGAAGCAGGGGAUGGAGCUCAGGCUUGCAACGAUUGAAGCCCUGAAAGUAAAUGUCAGUGAAAGUGACAAGGCUGCAGCUGAUGCGAAUGCCACGGCAACUGAGGCCAAGCUGCAGCUUGAGACCGCAAAGGCCACCAUUGACACACUCCUAGCUGAGGGUGCCCGGUUGCAGGAAUGCCUGAGGUCAAAGGACAUAGAACUCAGUGAGUCUAAAGCUCGUGUGGCAUCGCUCGAGGAGGAUCUGAAGAAGGCGCAGGCUGCAGCUAAUGAAAUUCUGAACGAGGCACAGGCAGGCAAUGCCAAUGGUGGCUUUGGCAGUCCGUUGACUGAAGUUCUGAAAAAGAGCGAGCAUCCCACCAGUGACGUCAAUGGAAGCUGUGGAAGUCCUGACCCAGAGAUUGAGCACUUGCGGAUGGCGCUUGAGGUGGCUGAGAUGAGGUACCAGGAGGAGCAAACUCGGAUGGCCUUUGAGACAAAGACAGUCUAUGAGAUGCUGGAGAAUGUCAAGUCUGAGUGCACGCGCCAAGUGUGUGAUGUCGAGCUCAAGCUGAAGAGCAAGAAUGACGAGCUCAUGGCAGCGCAGGCAGCACUGACAGGCAAGCCGCAGGAGGACCUUCACAGGUCAGACGGGCUGAGUGAAAUGCAGCCGGAGCUGGAGGCGAAGCUGAUGAAGUCGAUCACAGACAUCGCGGAGCUCAAGGCGAACCUGAUGGACAAGGAGAACGCGCUGCAGAGCCUGGCGGAGGAGAACGAGACCCUCAAGUCGGAGGCGGGCAGGAAGGAGGCGGAGGUGCAGCAGCGGUACGAGGCGGCGGUGGCGGAGCUGGAGCUGGCCAAGGCGGCGGAGCAGGACGUGCGGAUGCGGCUCGGGUACGUGACGGAGGAGGCCGACAAGAGCAGCCGGCGCGCCGCCCGGGCCUCGGAGCAGCUGGACGCCGCGCAGGCGGCGAGCGCGGAGGCGGACGCGGAGCUGCGCCGGCUGCGCGUGCAGUCCGACCAGUGGCGCAAGGCCGCGGAGGCCGCCGCCGCUGCCCUCGCGGGCGGUGGCGGCAACAAUGGCGGCCGGAUGGUGGAGAGGACCGGGUCGCUGGACACGGAGUACAACGGGUCCAUCGGCGGGAAGCUGAUGGGGUCGCCGUUCUCGGACGAGGAGUCCCCGAAGCGGCGCAACAGCGGCGUGCUGCGGAGGAUGAGCGGGCUGUGGAAGAAGGGGCCCAAGUGA